Molecule: small RNA, 646 nt
Filed under: Rattus norvegicus (Norway rat)
Lineage: Eukaryota; Metazoa; Chordata; Mammalia; Rodentia; Muridae
Description: uncharacterized LOC102550733
Source: RNAcentral
AAGAACUGAGGAUCGAGCUGCUCUCUCACCACUUCGGAAAAAGAGAGAAACGGGAUCCGCAGAGAUGGUUUGUUGGGAGAGCGGUGGCAGCAGAUGCUUGAAGCAGCCAGACACAUCACAUCCAACAGUCAGAAAACAUCCGUGUGUUCUGGUACUCGGCUGCCUUCCCCUUUCUGCAGUCUGGAAUGGCACUGCCCACAUUUGAGUCUACAGGCAAGGAGACUGAAGCAUGGGAGAGACUUAUCUACGUGGCAACUUUGUGAAGAGGCUGCAGUUGGGCCCAGCCUGUCCAGCCACCCCGCUCAGCCAUAUGGAUACAACUUUCCCUAGACCUGUACACUCAACCAUCCAGAUAUCAGAAGCCAUUUGUACAGUAACUGGCCUGGAUCCUUUUAGAAGAAAAAUGUGAUUUUCUUUUCCACUCUGCAAGCUCCUGCUUCGCCCUCCAUCCAGUCCUUGUUUAUUUCAGUAAAGAAACAGCCUUUGACGUCCUCCAAGAGGAACAGGGCAGCACUACAAACAUCGAGAAGCAUGCCACACGUUGGUUGGAACAUGGAAGUUUUGUAAGGUUUAAUAAGUUCUUGGAACCCAUGGAUGCUGCUGUCCUUUCAAGGUGAAAUUAAAAAAUAAAACACCCUGAAAAUCA